Molecule: long non-coding RNA, 774 nt
Filed under: Vigna radiata
Lineage: Eukaryota; Viridiplantae; Streptophyta; Magnoliopsida; Fabales; Fabaceae
Description: long non-coding RNA (VRAD_LNC012337)
Source: RNAcentral
UUUUAUUUUUAAUUUCGUUUUUUUUUUACAAAAACAGAAAAAUAAAAACAGAAAAAUAAAAAUAGAAAAUAAGAACAAAAAAGUAAAAACAAAAAUAUAAAAACAGAAAAAUAAAAACACCCCUCAGUAGGUGUUAAUUUUCUUUGCUUGAUAUUCUUUUCUUCUUUUUCCUCCUGCUGAAUUCUUUCAUAAAGUUGAGAACACCAAGCACAUGUUUCCAUGUUUCAACCAUAGGAACUUUAAUCUCCAAUUUCUUGAAGAUCUCCAUCGUGAAUUUCUUUCCCUUCCUAUGAUUUUUCUUUUUAUGAGGAGUGGGUUUUUUUAUGUGAUCUUUUCUUCUUUCCCCUCUUCCUCUUUUUCUCAACCUUCUCCUUCAACAUUCUCUUUUUCUCUUUUCUUCUUUUUUUCUUUAUUUUCGCAUAUCUUUUCUUUUUUUCUUUUUUCUCAACCACUGCUUCUUCUCCCUCAUCAUCUUUAUCUUCCUCAACCAACUUCUCUUCAUAUAUCUCUAUCUCUUCUUCCUCUAUAUUCUCCUCCUUGACAACCUUAUCAUUUUUAGAGAUAGUGGCUUGAUAUUCUUCUUCAAGGUUAACUUCAGUAUUAUCCCUAAUAAUGCCCAAAGACUUCAAUAUGCAAGAGUGUUGUUACUGCAAUAAACGUUCUUGUGCUUCCCCCAACGUUUCUUUUGGCAAGAAGAAUAGUUUCUAUAGUAAAACUCGUUCAGCUUCUCCCAAUGUUUCUUUUGACGAGGAGAGUUCCUGCCAUAAACGUUGC